RNAcentral lists this transfer RNA (62 nucleotides) under Aleeta curvicosta. RNAcentral's name for it is "tRNA-Glu". Lineage: Eukaryota; Metazoa; Arthropoda; Insecta; Hemiptera; Cicadidae. The record is from RNAcentral.
AUUUAUAAAGUUUAUAAAACAUUUCAUUUUCAUUGAAAAGAUAGGUAAUAACCUUGUAAAUA